UGCCUUCAUUUGUUUCCCGAACAUCGCUAUGUCUUAUUCUUUUGCCUUUGGCAGAUCCUUUAUUCCUUCUGGAACUGCAACUAAAUCCAGGGGAGCUCUGGCCAAUGGGCACACCCUGUUUCCAUGAUUCAGGGCACUGUGGUUCAGAUCGGAGAUUAUAAAAUCAGUAAUCCAGAGAAUACAAUAAUCACACCAUCAUAAUGCUGAAAAAGGUUCAGCAGUUCUCUUUCCACAUGGAGUAGGAGAGCUGAGACCAGAGCUCUGCAGUCGGACAGCUCAGUGAGCACACAGAGGCUUCAUAUUAUCUGGGACAAGCAACCUCGAUUCACAGAUGCCGCAGUGGCACAGAGAGCUGAAAGGACUCAAGAAGACAAACACAAAACCCUGAGUGCUCAGCCUCUUUUCACGGUGCUUCCCCUGAACCCACCACCUACC
Molecule: long non-coding RNA, 435 nt
Organism: Heterocephalus glaber (naked mole-rat)
Lineage: Eukaryota; Metazoa; Chordata; Mammalia; Rodentia; Bathyergidae
Source: RefSeq, a predicted model, not a curated record